GUACUUGCUUUGGCAGCACAUAGACUAAAAUUGAAACAAUACAGAGAAGAUUAGCAUGGUCCCUGAGCAAGGAUGGCAUACAAAUUCAUGAAGUGUUCAAUAUAUAG
Small nuclear RNA from Ochotona princeps (American pika), 107 nucleotides. NCBI's taxonomy places the organism in Eukaryota, Metazoa, Chordata, Mammalia, Lagomorpha, Ochotonidae. The record is from RefSeq and is a predicted model, not a curated record.